Molecule: ribosomal RNA, 468 nt
Filed under: uncultured bacterium
Lineage: Bacteria
Description: partial 16S ribosomal RNA
Rfam family: Bacterial small subunit ribosomal RNA
Source: RNAcentral
GACGAACGCUGGCGGCGUGCUUAACACAUGCAAGUCGAACGGAAAGGUCCUGCUUUUGUGGGGUGCUCGAGUGGCGAACGGGUGAGUAACACGUGAGUAACCUGCCCUUGACUUUGGGAUAACUUCAGGAAACUGGGGCUAAUACCGGAUAGGAGCUCCUGCUGCAUGGUGGGGGUUGGAAAGUUUCGGCGGUUGGGGAUGGACUCGCGGCUUAUCAGCUUGUUGGUGGGGUAGUGGCUUACCAAGGCUUUGACGGGUAGCCGGCCUGAGAGGGUGACCGGCCACAUUGGGACUGAGAUACGGCCCAGACUCCUACGGGAGGCAGAAGUGGGGAAUAUUGCACAAUGGGCGGAAGCCUGAUGCAGCAACGCCGCGUGCGGGAUGACGGCCUGCGGGUUGUAAACCGCUUUCGCCUGUGACGAAGCGUGAGUGACGGUAAUGGGUAAAGAAGCACCGGCUAACUACGUG